AUGGUUAAGUUAGAAAGGGCGCACGGUGAAUGCCUUGGCACUAGGAGCCGAUGAAGGACGGGACUAACACCGAUAUGCUUCGGGGAGCUGUAAGUGAGCUUUGAUCCGGAGAUUUCCGAAUGGGGAAACCCACUGUUCGUAAUGGAACAGUAUCUUUAUCUGAAUACAUAGGAUAUUGAAGGCAGACCCGGGGAACUGAAACAUCUAAGUACCCGGAGGAAGAGAAAGCAAAUGCGAUUUCCUGAGUAGCGGCGAGCGAAACGGAAUUAGCCCAAACCAAGAGGCUUGCCUCUUGGGGUUGUAGGACACUCUAUACGGAGUUACAAAGGAACGAAGUAAAUGAAGCGACCUGGAAAGGUCCGUCGAAGAAGGUAACAACCCUGUAGUUGAAACUUCGUUCCCUCUUGAGUGGAUCCUGAGUACGGCGGAACACGUGAAAUUCCGUCGGAAGCUGGGAGGACCAUCUCCCAAGGCUAAAUACUACCUAGUGACCGAUAGUGAACCAGUACCGUGAGGGAAAGGUGAAAAGCACCCCGGAAGGGGAGUGAAAGAGAUCCUGAAACCGUGUGCCUACAAGUAGUCAGAGCCCGUUAACGGGUGAUGGCGUGCCUUUUGUAGAAUGAACCGGCGAGUUACGAUCCCAUGCAAGGUUAAGCUGAUAAGGCGGAGCCGUAGCGAAAGCGAGUCUGAAUAGGGCGUUUAGUAUGUGGUUGUAGACCCGAAACCAGGUGAUCUACCCAUGUCCAGGGUGAAGUUCAGGUAACACUGAAUGGAGGCCCGAACCCACGCACGUUGAAAAGUGCGGGGAUGAGGUGUGGGUAGCGGAGAAAUUCCAAUCGAACCUGGAGAUAGCUGGUUCUCUCCGAAAUAGCUUUAGGGCUAGCCUCAUGUUGUGAGAGUCUUGGAGGUAGAGCACUGAUUGGACUAGGGGCCCCCAACGGGUUACCGAAUUCAGUCAAACUCCGAAUGCCAAAGACUUAUCCAUGGGAGUCAGACUGCGAGUGAUAAGAUCCGUAGUCAAAAGGGAAACAGCCCAGACCACCAGCUAAGGUCCCCAAGUAUACGUUAAGUGGAAAAGGAUGUGGAGUUGCUUAGACAACCAGGAUGUUGGCUUAGAAGCAGCCACCAUUUAAAGAGUGCGUAAUAGCUCACUGGUCGAGUGACUCUGCGCCGAAAAUGUACCGGGGCUAAACGUAUCACCGAAGCUGUGGAUUGACAUCUUUGAUGUCAGUGGUAGGAGAGCGUUCUAAGUGCAGCGAAGUCAGACCGUAAGGACUGGUGGAGCGCUUAGAAGUGAGAAUGCCGGUAUGAGUAGCGAAAGACAAGUGAGAAUCUUGUCCACCGAAUGCCUAAGGUUUCCUGAGGAAGGCUCGUCCGCUCAGGGUUAGUCGGGACCUAAGCCGAGGCUGAAAAGCGUAGGCGAUGGCCAACAGGUUGAUAUUCCUGUACCACCUCCCCGCCGUUUGAGUAAUGGGGGGACGCAGUAGGAUAGGGUAAGCGCGCUGCUGGAUAUGCGCGUUCAAGCAGUUAGGCUGAUGAGUAGGCAAAUCCGCUCAUCAUGAAGGCUGAGCUGUGAUGACGAGGGAAUUACAGUACCGAAGUUCCUGAUUCCACACUGCCAAGAAAAGCCUCUAGCGAGGCGGGAGGUGCCCGUACCGCAAACCGACACAGGUAGGCGAGGAGAGAAUCCUAAGGUGAUCGAGAGAACUCUCGUUAAGGAACUCGGCAAAAUGACCCCGUAACUUCGGGAGAAGGGGUGCUCUGGUAGGGUGUAUAGCCCGAGAGAGCCGCAGUGAAUAGGCCCAGGCGACUGUUUAGCAAAAACACAGGUCUCUGCGAAGCCGCAAGGCGAAGUAUAGGGGCUGACGCCUGCCCGGUGCUGGAAGGUUAAGAGGAGGGGUUAUCCUUUGGGAGAAGCUCUGAAUCGAAGCCCCAGUAAACGGCGGCCGUAACUAUAACGGUCCUAAGGUAGCGAAAUUCCUUGUCGGGUAAGUUCCGACCCGCACGAAAGGCGUAACGAUCUGGGCACUGUCUCAACGAGAGACUCGGUGAAAUUAUAGUACCUGUGAAGAUGCAGGUUACCCGCGACAGGACGGAAAGACCCCGUGGAGCUUUACUGUAGCCUGAUAUUGAAUUUUGGUACAGCUUGUACAGGAUAGGUAGGAGCCUGAGAAGCCGGAGCGCUAGCUUCGGUGGAGGCGUCGGUGGGAUACUACCCUGGCUGUAUUGAAAUUCUAACCCGCGGCCCUGAUCGGGCCGGGAGACAGUGUCAGGUGGGCAGUUUGACUGGGGCGGUCGCCUCCUAAAAUGUAACGGAGGCGCCCAAAGGUUCCCUCAGAAUGGUUGGAAAUCAUUCGUAGAGUGUAAAGGCACAAGGGAGCUUGACUGCGAGACCUACAAGUCGAGCAGGGACGAAAGUCGGGCUUAGUGAUCCGGUGGUUCCGCAUGGAAGGGCCAUCGCUCAACGGAUAAAAGCUACCCCGGGGAUAACAGGCUUAUCUCCCCCAAGAGUCCACAUCGACGGGGAGGUUUGGCACCUCGAUGUCGGCUCAUCGCAUCCUGGGGCUGUAGUCGGUCCCAAGGGUUGGGCUGUUCGCCCAUUAAAGCGGUACGCGAGCUGGGUUCAGAACGUCGUGAGACAGUUCGGUCCCUAUCCGUCGUGGGCGUAGGAAAUUUGAGAGGAGCUGUCCUUAGUACGAGAGGACCGGGAUGGACACACCGCUGGUGUACCAGUUGUCUUGCCAAAGGCAUCGCUGGGUAGCUAUGUGUGGACGGGAUAAGUGCUGAAAGCAUCUAAGCAUGAAGCCCCCCUCAAGAUGAGAUUUCCCAUAGCGCAAGCUAGUAAGAUCCCUGAAAGAUGAUCAGGUUGAUAGGUCAGAGGUGGAAGCGUGGCGACAUGUGUAGCUGACUGAUACUAAUCGAUCGAGGACUUAACCAAAC
This 2940-nucleotide ribosomal RNA is filed under the name Priestia megaterium. RNAcentral's name for it is "23S ribosomal RNA". It matches the Rfam family "Bacterial large subunit ribosomal RNA". The record is from RNAcentral. Lineage: Bacteria; Bacillati; Bacillota; Bacilli; Caryophanales; Bacillaceae.